AACAAAUCAACUUUUCAUUUUUUAGAUACAAUGUUUAACUCUUCGUCUUAUUAAAAAAAAUUUACGAUUAAUAAUUUUAUUUUUAUUAGAUGAUAAAACAUAAAUAGUACUUUAUGUGUGACUAAUUUUUUAAAAAUUUCUUGAAUUUUUUUUAAAUAAGACGGAUGGUCAAAUGCUCGACACAAAAACC
RNAcentral lists this microRNA precursor (190 nucleotides) under Oryza brachyantha (malo sina). Its description in RNAcentral is "MIR812 microRNA precursor family". It matches the Rfam family "MIR812 microRNA precursor family". The record is from Rfam by way of RNAcentral. Lineage: Eukaryota; Viridiplantae; Streptophyta; Magnoliopsida; Poales; Poaceae.